UCCCUGAAAGAUGAUCAGGUUGAUAGGUCUGAGGUGGAAGUGUGGCGACACAUGGAGCUGACAGAUACUAAUCGAUCGAGGACUUAACCUA
Molecule: ribosomal RNA, 91 nt
Filed under: Bacillus licheniformis
Lineage: Bacteria; Bacillati; Bacillota; Bacilli; Caryophanales; Bacillaceae
Also listed under: 2 other names
Description: partial 23S ribosomal RNA
Rfam family: Bacterial large subunit ribosomal RNA
Source: RNAcentral